Molecule: long non-coding RNA, 473 nt
Filed under: Felis catus (domestic cat)
Lineage: Eukaryota; Metazoa; Chordata; Mammalia; Carnivora; Felidae
Description: lncRNA (ENSFCAG00000052137.1)
Source: RNAcentral
AUGAAGUGUCCCUGGGGAUUGACUGUCCUGUAACCAACAUAACUGAGAAGGGGUAUGGGUUUAAUCACCUUGUCACCGAGUGUGGGAUUCAGAAAGAGUACUUAAAGAUUUUUCAGGAAUUGGGAGUUUAUUGAAAAAGAAAAAAAAAAGGAUCACGAAAGCCUGAAGAUAGAUGCUUAUGAGUCAAAAGAAGACAAAUAAUCCAGAGAUAGAGAUGAUCCUGUUUUCAAUGCCUUCAUCCUUACCCUGAAAGCACUGCUCUCCUAGAGAUAUAAUCAGGCAUUUACCAUACGCUGAGAACUUCAUCACAGGUGUUCCUUACCACCAUGAUCACUGCUUUUUCAGAGAUAAGGAAACAGACUUAAUUGUUUAAAUAAAUUCCCAGGGAUUCAUGCCUCUCCAGGAGACUCUUCUGCGUAAAACUAAAAUCAAGUGUAUCUCAGUGACAGAGCUGAAGUGCUAUUAUUGUGUGC